This 3432-nucleotide unclassified non-coding RNA is filed under the name Lytechinus variegatus (green sea urchin). RNAcentral describes it as "uncharacterized LOC121416932, transcript variant X1". Lineage: Eukaryota; Metazoa; Echinodermata; Echinoidea; Temnopleuroida; Toxopneustidae. The record is from RNAcentral.
AGUCACAAAAUAUUGCCUUUUGUGUGAAUGGCGGUCGGCAUGGUGGUUUUUCAUUUCUCAAAUGCCACAUUCAUUCAAACCAGGCCAUUCACCAAAUCGAUUUCCCGAUCAUAUUACGAGCAAAUGAGUACAACAAAUGGACUUCGCAAAUCAGUGAAAUCGAUGUCAUCAAGGGCGAGGCAAAUGAUGGUCAUCCUCCUCGCGCUCGCCUAGCCUCGGAGGUUUGAGGUUUUAAUUGAACUGAGCAUGCGCAAAUAUGCGUUGCCAUUAAACGAUCUUCCUACGCAACGGCUGGGCAUCAAUUUUGUUACGCGAUUUUAAAGAGCGAUAAAUGAUCUCAUUAUGGACCUGAUAAUGAUCCAAAGGUGACAUCCCAGUGUGCAUACGCUUAGAAAUUAUUGAUUCAAGCAUGUCACGACCAGGUUCCAUGAGGAAGAGAAGAGGCCUUGAUGCAUCCCCUUCAUCAAACUCACCUCAAGCCGGUCUUGAGCCAUGUCAUACAUGUGGAAGAACAUUCCUGCCAGAUGUUUUGGCGAGGCAUUUACCAAUAUGUGCCAAAGUGUUCAACUCUAAAAGGAGAGUGUUUGAGUCGGGAAGACAGAGAAUAGCAGGAACUGGAAUAUCAAUCACAAAAAUUGUCAGACCAGAUAAAAUAAAGAAACAAGGGAUCAAGAAGACAAACUGGAGACAAAAUCAUGCAGAUUUUGUGAAUGCCAUUAGGUCAGCAAGACGGGCCCAGCAUGCCAUUAAUACAGGGAAGCCCCUCCCUCCUCCGCCGCCUCCAUCUAUCAAUCCAGACUACAUCCAAUGUCCUCAUUGUGGGCGUCGCUUCAACCAAACUGCGGCAGCCAGACACAUCAACUUCUGUGGCGAGAGAACCAAUACCUUUGGUUCGCCCGUCAAGCCACUCAACAAGAGAGCCGCGGCUGAUGUGCAUGGGAGUAAGGUGGCCAUAAGAAAAGCCUAUGAUAACAUUGUAGUGAGACGGAAACCUUCUACCAACCCUUAUGCCUAUGCCCAGGGCGAUGGCAAUGAUGAAGGGGUCAAGGUCUACUCUGCAGCGUUUGGGGGCAGUGGUCCUGAUCAACAAGGUAAAGCUUCAACAGUUACUGCCAGACGGAAUUCAACCUCGCCCAGAAGAAAAAUAGCUUCCCCUCGGCAAUCCUCCCGCAGGAGUUCAACAUCUCUCAUAUCAUUGUCACCAAGACAACAAUCAUCACCAAGGCAACAGCCUUCACCGCGGCAACAAACAUUGCCAAACCAACGGACUUCUCCAGGGUUCAAGCAGUUUUCCAGAGAGUCGUCAUCACUCUUGUCGCAUCCGUCCACCUCUCCUCGUUUUCAGUCAUCCUCACAGCCGUCCGCAUCUCUGUUGCCCCAGACAGCAUCCAUGAAACAUUCCCCGUUGCGGUCGUUACCUCCAGCAACACAGCAUCCGUCAUGGCAGGCACCCACGUUGCCACAAAAGCUACCAUCUCCUUCUCAAGAACUGACAACAAUACAGCCCCUGUCCUCAUCUAGCCCUCACCAGCACUCCUCACCAUCUCAGAUCAUGGGUCCUGCCCAGAUAUCCCCUCCGCCUAUUCCUCAGGCAAGCCUCAACUCAUUACCGCCAUGGCAGCAAGCCUUGAAGACCAGCAGCAGCAGGUCACCUCCAAAAGCAGCAAGACUUCCCAAUGGACACAUCAGGAGGUCAAGAUUGAUCAAGUCGGGAAAACCCAAGGGCAAUGUCAGAUUCGCUGAUAAUGUCCAAGUUAAAACAUUUGGUGAUACUUUACCGGGACCCGAUGAUGUCGGAGGGCCUGCUGACUACGAAGCACCCUCACAGUCAGUGUAUGCCUCCCACAAUGCCAUGCCAAAUAGCUUUGAUGAACAAUUACUAUCAAGACACCAGGAUCUUAUGUCAGUGUUGAAGAAGAACUAUGGGGAUGAUGUGAUGCUGGCCACACCCGGCAACCAUAUCGAGGAGAUGAUGCAGUCCAGGCAUCCAACCCAUCCCCUUCCGAACUAUGGUGGGAUGGGUCACUAUGGCAACCAAGGAGGACAUGAGGGUGGAGGAAUACCCGACCUCACACCCAUGAGCACGGGGCUACAGAGAAGCUCGGCAUUGAAUGCUUCGCCAUCGCAUCUCCCGCCAUCCUCUAUGAUGACCUCCUAUCAGGAUUCCUUUGGGAGAACGGAUCACUCGUCAUUUAAUAGCACAACUCCCUUCUCACUGAACAACCCAUCAGGACUAUCCAAUGAAGCUACCUCCAACCAUACCAGGCCUCCGCAGGGGUACGGUAGAAGGCCACGCCCGGUCGUAGGAUCCCUUCGCGGUCCAGUUCCUUCCAAGCCAUCUCCCAGUGACUUCAGUAAGCUCUCUAUCUCUGGAGGCAUGCAUGGAGGGGCAUUCUCAGGAAUGUGAUGAUGUUGAUCUGGAAGUCACGUCUAAUUGGAUGUUCCAGGUUCCACCCGACACCUACUUUAGCCGUCUCCCAGUGGAGGGCAUUCCAAGGAAUGUGACGUUGCUACUCUGGAAGCCACUAACAAGUGGAGGUUCCAGGUUCCGCCCGGCACCUACUUUAGCCGUCUCCCAGUGGAGGGCAUUCCGAGGAAUGUGACGUUGCUACUCUGGAAGCCACUAACAAGUGGAGGCUCCAGGUUCCGCCCGACACCUACUUAAGCCGUCUCCCAGUGGAGGGCAUUCCGAGGAAUGUGACGUUGCUACUCUGGAAGCCACUAACAAGUGGAGGUUCCAGGUUCCGCCCGGCACCUACUUUAGCCGUCUCCCAGUGGAGGGCAUUCCGAGGAAUGUGACGUUGCUACUUUAGAAGCCACUACCAAUUAGAGGUUCCAGGUUUCCACCAGCACCUAACAACCAUAGUCAUCAAAGGAUGUUCCCUUGAAAGUGAUCUUCAAAUUGAUGUUACUAAGAUGAAAUCCAUGCCCAAUUGGAUGCCCUAAAUCUUCUUGUUUGGCCCAAAUCUGCAGUCUACUGUAAACGCUGUUAUUUUUGCGCGAUUAGUUUUUUUCGUACUUAGCGGCUUCAAAACACAUUCGCGGGUUCUUAAAUUUGCGCUGCACACUCCAUGAUCACAAAGUCCCUUCCUUCUUGCCCAUCUGUAAAUGGUUUUAAUCAACAUUUCAGCAACAUAAUCAUAUUUUCUGAUCAUAAUUCUAGCUCUAAAGCGGCAUAAUUCAGCGUUGUUUUGAUCUAAUCAUGAGCUUUUGUGACAUUUAGCGCAACUUUUCUUUGCGGGGCGGACAUCGGGGAAGGCAAAACGGAGGUGCUAGCUGCUGGUCUGGUAUGGACGGCCGAGCACCGGGUAAGGACCGGGGGGAUUAUGGCUAUCAAAGUGCAUGGGAUCAAUCAACAAACAUGGGCGAUUGACCCAACGUCUUCUGAACAGAUCUUAACACUCACCAAUCAAACAGCAAAAGCAAUUUAUA